RNAcentral lists this long non-coding RNA (1261 nucleotides) under Bemisia tabaci. Its description in RNAcentral is "lncRNA ENSSSA1UGG010828". Lineage: Eukaryota; Metazoa; Arthropoda; Insecta; Hemiptera; Aleyrodidae. The record is from RNAcentral.
ACGCCAACGGGCCACCCCUAAUUUUAAAGACGCUUAUGAUGACUAACCGGAAGAUAAACAUCACAACAAUUUAACCUUCACACUUUGUACAGGCUUAGGACUGUCAGCCGAUGAGGAAAAAUUUCUAAUUUAUUGAACAAAAUGAAAAAGAAACUUCUUCUUAAUUUUUAUUUGAUUUUCGUACUUCUAAAACAAAAUAAAAUUUUUCCUCCUCGGUCGGCGUGGUUAAAAAUUACCGCGGGUGAAACAGAAGACUCGUGCAAUGGAACUUGAACACUUGCUACCACGAAGCUAUUAAAAUGCAACCCUACGAAGCGGUUUUUGGAGAAAAAGCCAAACUUGGUUUAGGUUCUUCUUUGCCCUCCUGCUUUUUAGAAGAAAUCAGCUCAGGAACUUUGGAAGAGGAGUUGAUGGAAAUGAUUUCUGCAGCUGAAAGCGAAGCAAUUGUAGAGGUCGAGGGUGGGAUUUCUGUAGAUGCCUUUUUACCUGUUGAAAUGCCCGAUGAAACCACUAUCGAUGGACCUCUUCGUAAGAGACCUUGUCUGGAUGUUGUCCCUGAUAACUCAGCAGUACCAGCCACUCAAUUUAUUCAGAAAGUGACUCCGGCCCUGAAAAGUCCGAAGUUUCCGCCAAUCAAGUGCCCCAAACGGAAAAAUUGCCCGUGGAAAGUGACUCCGGCCCUGAAAAGUCCGAAGUUUCCGCCAAUCAAGUGCCCCAAACGGAAAAAUUGCCCGUGGAAAGUGACUCCGGCCCUGAAAAGUCCGAAGUUUCCGCCAAUCAAGUGCCCCAAACGGAAAAAUUGCCCAUGGAAAAUGACUCCGGCCCUGAAAAGUCCGAAGUUUCCGCCAAUCAAGUGCCCCAAACGGAAAAUUGCCCAUGGAAAGUGAAUCCGCCCCUGACAAACAUCCUGCGAUUGUUGCUAGAGAAAAAGCCAGCGUAAACUUGAAGAAACAGGCGGAGAAAAUGGUGAACCGAACCGAGGAGGAAAAAUUUUAUUUUGUUUUAGAAGUACGAAAAUCAAAUAAAAAUUAAGAAGAAGUUUCUUUUUCAUUUUGUUCAAUAAAUUAGAAAUUUUUCCUCAUCGGCUGACAGUCCUAAGCCUGUACAAAGUGUGAAGGUUAAAUUGUUGUGAUGUUUAUCUUCCGGUUAGUCAUCAUAAGCGUCUUUAAAAUUAGGGGUGGCCCGUUGGCGUAAUUUUGCAAAUUUCCACCGGCCAGUCCGCGGACUGGGCAAAAAAAAUGGCCAGUUCGCGGACUGGGCA